GAAACAGAGAGCAAAACAAAACAAAACAGAGAAGGGAGAAAGAAAGAAACAGAGAGCAAAACGAAACAGAGAAGGAAGGAAGGAAAGAAAGAAAGAAAAGAAAAGAAAAAGGGAAAUUUGGGGUUUUAAGGUUCAAAGUAAUUUGCUAAUGUCGUGUACGAGUCAUUGUCCGAGAAAGGAAAGGAGAAAGUGGACAAGGAGUGACUCGAGAGAAAUUACGGUUAGUAUUACUAUAAUUCGAAUUUAAUUAUUAAUUGUUAAAAUUUAAAUUAAUAUACAUGAUAAGAAAAUUGAGGUGAGUAUCAUGAUUGAAUCGAAUGAAAUAUAUAUAUACGUAUUGAUAUUGAAUUUAUUGAUAGUAAUUGUUGAAUUUUGAAUAAUAUGUUUAGUAAAUAAAAAUAAGGAGAAUACCAAUAUUUAAUUGAAUGAAUUAAAAUAUGAAUUGAAUAAAUGAGAUAUUAAAUUGAGAUAUGUGAAUAUGUGAAUUGUGUAUUGAUUGAAAAGUGGUUUGAAUUGAAUCGAAGUAUGAUUAUAUGUGAAUAUCUGAAAUAUGUAUUGGUAUUGAAUUGUAUAUUGAUUUGAAAGUGGGAAGUGAAUCUGAGUUGAAUUGCGAUUAAAUCGAAAGUGAAUUUGAAAUAGAAAAAUGUAUUGAAACAAAUGGUGAUUAAAUGGGAAUGAUUUGAAUUGAAAGUAUAAGAAAGUGAUUGAAUUGAAAUGUGAUUCGGAAACCCUAUUAACUAGUCGGGCUGAGUCGGAUAUAGUUGGCAUGCCAUAGGAUUGGAAGAGUUCAGGGAUACUUCGACCUUGAGUCGAUGAGACACUGGGUGUCACUAUAUUUCUUCGGAUAGAUUCGAUGAGGUACUGGGUACCAACUUUCUUCGGCUUUGCCGAUGAGACACUGGGUGUCAACUAUUGCUUCGAACUAUCCGAUGAGGCACUGGGUGCCAUUCUGGUGUGUUUGGUUGGAUCCGUGUAUCCGCCAAGGUCCGAGUCUUGUUAAUAGGGGUAAAUAAUUGAAAUGAGAAAAUUGAAUAAAUGUGAUUGAUUGAGCUAUGGGAAGAAACGAAAAAGUGAAGUUGUGAAUUGAUGUGUGAAUUGGAAAUCGAAAUAAGAGAUUUAAAGAUAUGAGCCCAAAGUUCAUGAUGUGAUAAAGAGUAAAUUUUGUUAUAUGAUAUUAGUGAGUACAAAUUGCAAUAAAAUUUAUAUUGAAUAUAAAUUAAAUGAAAUGAAUUGUAUAUGAAUUGAAAUGAACUAUUGGAAUGAGAUGUAAAGAAAAAUCCAAUGGAAUUGAGAUAGUGAAAUAAGGUAUGAAUACAAUUAAAUACAAGAUUUGAAUUAUAGCUUAUUGUUAUUAAUUAUCAAGUUGAUUUAAUGCAUGAGAUAAUUAAUGAAUAAUUGUAGACAUAAAUAAAAUGUAUAUAAUUUAUCGAUUAAUGUUAUUAAUUCGAAUUAUGGUAAUACCACUGAGUAUUUCCAUACUCAGCGUACGGUUGUUUCCGUGCGCAGGUUAGGUCAAAGUCGGAUUGUUGAAUCAGCAUCCAAAGCCGAUUCUGAGCUAAUUGUGGUGGUGAACAUUUCUUUUAGUUAUGGCAUGUAUAGGAAUUUAGUAAUUUUGUAUAUUUGUAAAUAUGAUUUUACUAUAGAAUGAUGUGUAAGUAUUUGAUGAUGAAUGGUUGUUUAAAUGGUCAAGGAUGAAGUUAAUUAUUGUUAUAAAAGUCUAAGUGAUAAAUUAGGUAUGAAAGUCAUAAAAUGGUAAAAUUUUGCAAAGAAACAGAAUUCAGGCAGCAAUAGUGACGUGAAUUUGAAAAAUCACCCAAGAUAGUAUAAAAUGAAUUAGAGGGUGAAUGAUAUAUGGAAUUAAAGCUUGUUGAGUCUAUUUUCAUGGAAAAAUAACGGUGUAGAGAAAAGAAAUUUAUAUUUUAAGAUAUGUGAAUUUUAGUAAGAUAGGGUCAGAACUGUUUUUGGAGUCCCCUGUUCUGAGUUUAGAAAAUAAUUACAAAUUGUACAAAAAUGGUUAUGAGUUGAAAUUUACAUGCUUAGAUUCCUUAAUGAGUCUAUUUUCUAUAGAAACAAGUAAGAACUUCAUAUGAAAAUCCUAUAGUGAGAAAACUUAUUUUUAGUGACUAGAGGUCAGGGCAGUCUGGUGGUGACACAGGGGAGACUUUAACUAAUAAACUGUACUAAUUUGCUAAACCAAAAAUUCUAAAAAUUUUAUGGUGAGUAUAUAUAUGAGUCUAGUUUCAGGGAAAAUUUACGAAAUUAAAUUUGGAGUUCCGUAGCUCGAGUUAUAAUCAAUUUAGUAACUGCUGCGCGAUUGGACAGAUUACUGUAAACAGUGAAAUUAAUUUUUAAAACGAAUUUUUAUGCCCCGAAUUAGUAAGAUAAGCUAAGUAAUGCCUCGUACUCGAUUCCGGCAACGGUCUCGGGUAAGGGGUGUUACAAUUUUGGUGGUAUCAGAGCUUUGCAGGUUUAGUCGAUUCUCGGACUAAAUCGAGCUCAGAAUUGAGUUUAGA
This 2513-nucleotide long non-coding RNA is filed under the name Gossypium barbadense (sea-island cotton). RNAcentral describes it as "long non-coding RNA (GBAR_LNC003957)". Lineage: Eukaryota; Viridiplantae; Streptophyta; Magnoliopsida; Malvales; Malvaceae. The record is from RNAcentral.